CUUGGACACUUCGAUGAAAUCCUAGUUCAGCUGAUUAAGCUCUGAUGAAAAAUCCGAAGUCUUCCGCACCCAUCUGAUGUACCAG
This is a small nucleolar RNA of Onychomys torridus (southern grasshopper mouse), 85 nucleotides long. RefSeq annotates it as small nucleolar RNA snR60/Z15/Z230/Z193/J17. The transcript has a single exon. Lineage: Eukaryota; Metazoa; Chordata; Mammalia; Rodentia; Cricetidae. The record is from RefSeq and is a predicted model, not a curated record.